Molecule: ribosomal RNA, 448 nt
Filed under: uncultured Christensenellaceae bacterium
Lineage: Bacteria; Bacillati; Bacillota; Clostridia; Christensenellales; Christensenellaceae
Description: bacterial SSU rRNA
Rfam family: Bacterial small subunit ribosomal RNA
Source: RNAcentral
UUCCUACGGGGGGCUGCAGUGGGGAAUAUUGGGCAAUGGGCGCAAGCCUGACCCAGCAACGCCGCGUGAGGGAAGAAGGCCUUCGGGUUGUAAACCUCUGUCCUUAGGGACGAAAAAAAUGACGGUACCUAAGGAGGAAGCUCCGGCUAACUACGUGCCAGCAGCCGCGGUAAUACGUAGGGAGCAAGCGUUGUCCGGAAUUACUGGGCGUAAAGGGUGCGUAGGCGGCUUGGCAAGUCAGAUGUGAAAUCCCCGGGCUUAACUCGGGGGGUGCAUUUGAAACUGCUGAGCUGGAGUGCAGGAGAGGAGAGCGGAAUUCCUAGUGUAGCGGUGAAAUGCGUAGAUAUUAGGAGGAACACCAGUGGCGAAGGCGGCUUUCUGGACUGUAACUGACGCUGAGGCACGAAAGCGUGGGGAGCAAACAGGAUUAGAUACCCCAGUAGUCACG